UACGUAGGUGGCAAGCGUUGUCCGGAUUUAUUGGGUUUAAAGGGUGCGUAGGCGGUCUAUUAAGUCAGCGGUGAAAUACGGCAGCUUAACUGUCGAGGUGCAAUUGAUACUGCAGGGCUUGAGUACUGAUGAGGUAGGCGGAAUGGACGGUGUAGCGGUGAAAUGCUUAGAGAUUACAUGGAAUACCAAUUGCGAAGGCAGGUUACUACUAAUGGAUUGACGCUGAUGGACGAAAGCGUGGGUAGCGAACAGG
RNAcentral lists this ribosomal RNA (253 nucleotides) under uncultured bacterium. Its description in RNAcentral is "partial 16S ribosomal RNA". It matches the Rfam family "Bacterial small subunit ribosomal RNA", at positions 524 to 776 of the family's 1533-position model. The record is from RNAcentral.